GCAAGUACAUAAAUACAAGACAGCUUCCCUCAGAGGACUCUGUGGCUAUCUAUCUGAGUGACUGUACCUUAGGGAAAGAAUAGUCAGGUAUUUUGAAGAAUGUUGAUCACAGGAUCAGCACUGAUGUUUGUAUUCAGAGAUCUAAAGCAGCAUCACAGCCUUCCUGUUAGAAUGGGGGUCUACCAGACCAGGUUUCCAGCUCGAGUAGUUUCCCGGUGGGCCCACUGGAUCCGUGGACCCACGGAAGAGUCACUUCCUAGUCCCCAGUGCAUAAUUGAAAUUGCUAUUUGUGGCAGUUGGAUAACCGCUGCACUGGGUUCCUGGUCUGUGGAGGUGGGAGUUACCAUAGCAUGGCUUGCCAAGGGGAACCCUCCGAAACCUUCCGUCACUCCUGCCAAGACGUCUGGUCCCUAAAUAAACUGGAUGGAUCCUGAAGAAUUACUAUAGACUACUGCAGACUUAACCAAGUAAUGGCCUUCAUCACAGCAGGCGUUCUAUGGUGGAACUCACUGUUAGAACAGAUUUAAUAAGGGCUCAGAUACGUGGUACAUCACUGAUUUGGCAAUACCUUAUUUUUUUUUUUUUUGGCAUUCUAAUUGGAAUAGAGGAUCAGAAACAAUUCACUUUCACUAAGAACAGUGACUUGAGUUUUGCCUUGGGGCUAUAUUAACUCUCCCAUUCUCAGUCAUAAUAUGAACCACUUCAAUAUCCCUCAGAACACUACAUAGGUCCAUUUUUAUUGACAACAUCAUGCUGAUUGGACAGAUAAGCAAAAGGUGGCUGGCAUGCCAAAGACCAUGGUAAGAUAGAGGCACUCCAGAGCAUGGGAGAUAAACACAAAGCUCCAGGAACCAGAUAUUUCAGUAAAGUGUUUAGAGGUCCAGUGGUCAGAGGAGUGCCAGGACAUCCCCUCCAAAAUGAAAGCCAAAUUGCUGCGUCUUGCAGCCUUAACCACAAAGAAGGAAGUAGGAACUUUCUAGGCCUCUUUUGCUUCUGGGAUCAACACAUUCUACAACUGGGAAUAACGCUCUGGCUCAUGUGCCAGGUGACAAGGAAGGGGGCCAGCUUUGAAUAGGGCUGAAAACAGAAAAGGGCUCUGUGACAGUUCCUGGCUUCACUGUAAGCAGCCCUGACUAACAUUUGGACCAUACGAUCCAGCAGAUCCUGGUGGAAUCCGUGAUGGGAAAAGAUGCAGUUGGAAUUUAUGGCAAGUCUACUGGAAGAAUCAUGACACAGACCCUUGGGAUUCUGAAGCACAGUCAUGCCAUCUGCAGCAGAUAAUUGCUGCCCAUUGAGAAACAGCUCUUGGCCUAUCACUGUGCCCUGUAGAGACUGAUCAUUUGACCACUGGACAGUAAACCUAUCCAUUCCCUCAGACCCUUUUCAGCUGAGUGACCGGAUUUGCUAACUCCCACCAUUCCGGCUGUAUUUGUUGACAUUCUAAUAAAC
Bos taurus (domestic cattle) is the source of this 1449-nucleotide long non-coding RNA. Lineage: Eukaryota; Metazoa; Chordata; Mammalia; Artiodactyla; Bovidae. The record is from Ensembl.